Molecule: non-coding RNA, 437 nt
Organism: Camelina sativa (false flax)
Lineage: Eukaryota; Viridiplantae; Streptophyta; Magnoliopsida; Brassicales; Brassicaceae
Source: RefSeq, a predicted model, not a curated record
CUCACGAAGACCACGCUGAAGAAAGAGGCAACGUCGUCCUCGUCUGACGAAGAAGCCGUCAUGGAAACUGUUGAAGAAAGGGUAGUGGAUGAGAGCGGUGAAGAAGAGGAAGCGGAUGAGAAUGUUGAAGAAGGGGAAGCGGCUGAAGACGAUCUAGAUAAGGACGAUAAAGAAAUCGCUGGAGAAGAAAACGAAGGCCUCGGUGAUGGUCCAUUGUUGCCCGCUGAACAAGGUAAAAGCAAAGCCUCUUCUUCUCUUGGAUCUGGAUUUUUUUUUUGAGGCCAUGGAACUGAAAAAUCGCUCGCUGCUUUGAUCAUGAUAUCAUCAAAGUAGAAUCAUACUUAUUGGAGACUGCAUGAUCAACUACCUAUUGUAAAAUCAAGCAACCAACUAAAAAAUACUAUGCACAAACGUCGCUCCUACCUACACAUACUUAA